UACGGAGGAUCCAAGCGUUAUCCGGAUUUAUUGGGUUUAAAGGGUGCGCAGGCGGGAGAUUAAGUCGGUGGUGAAAUUUUGCAGCUCAACUGUAAAAGUGCCAUUGAUACUGGUUUUCUUGAGUGUAGAUGAAGUAGGCGGAAUUUGUGGUGUAGCGGUGAAAUGCAUAGAUAUCACGAGGAACUCCGAUUGCGCAGGCAGCUUACUAAACUAUAACUGACGCUCAGGCACGAAGGCGUGGGGGUCAAACAGGAUUAGAUACCCU
This 265-nucleotide ribosomal RNA is filed under the name uncultured prokaryote. RNAcentral's name for it is "partial 16S ribosomal RNA". It matches the Rfam family "Bacterial small subunit ribosomal RNA", at positions 524 to 788 of the family's 1533-position model. The record is from RNAcentral.